AUUUGCUCUUUUGGAUCAUGCUCAAGAAUAUCAAUUUCUGCUUCUGCAAGAUCAUCUGAUUUGUCUUCUAAAGCAGAUAGAUAGUCAGGCUGUCUGGAUGUUGCUAUUUUAUUUGAUUUCUCUCUUUCUGAAACAGACGGGUGGUCAGGCUGUCUGCAUAUAGUUGGCUGAUUUCUGACUUUUAGAUUCUAUUUCUACAAUAACUUCAUUCUAGAUUUUGCCAGAUAAUGUAUAGGCAGUUUACUCUCUCAAAGUAAAGUACUCUCCAUCUUCUUUUUAACCUAAAGACAUCUACAAAAUAAAUAAAUAAUCUCUACCUUUUUGGCACCC
This 330-nucleotide long non-coding RNA is filed under the name Panax ginseng (ginseng). RNAcentral's name for it is "long non-coding RNA (PGIN_LNC002616)". Lineage: Eukaryota; Viridiplantae; Streptophyta; Magnoliopsida; Apiales; Araliaceae. The record is from RNAcentral.